This 378-nucleotide unclassified non-coding RNA is filed under the name uncultured bacterium. Its description in RNAcentral is "contains 16S-23S intergenic spacer region". The record is from RNAcentral.
UCGCGGCUUAUCACCGGCAGUCCCCUUAGAGUGCCCAACUGAAUGAUGGCAACUAAGGGCGAGGGUUGCGCUCGUUGCGGGACUUAACCCAACAUCUCACGACACGAGCUGACGACAGCCACGCAGCACCUGUGUCCACGCCCCUUGCGGGGAGGAUUCCAUCUCUGGAAGCCGUCGUGGCAUGUCAAGGGUAGGUAAGGUUUUUCGCGUUGCAUCGAAUUAAUCCACAUCAUCCACCGCUUGUGCGGGCCCCCGUCAAUUCCUUUGAGUUUCAGCCUUGCGACUGUACUCCCCAGGCGGCAUAUUUAACGCGUUAGCUCCGGCACGGAUCAACUGAAUGACCCACACCAAAUAUGCAUCGUUUAGGGCGUGGACUAC